UAGCGUAUAUUAAAGUUGUUGCGGUUAAAAAGCUCGUAGUUGGAUUUCUGUUGAGGACGACCGGUCCAUACCACGUAUGCGCAUCUGGUUCGGCCUCGGCAUCCUCUCGAUAGACGUUUCUGCGCUUGAUUGCGUGGAGCGGAUCUCGGGACUUUUACUUUGAGGAAAUUAGAGUGUUCACGGCAGGCUGUCGCCAGAAUACAUUAGCAUGGAAUAAUAUUAUAGGAUCUCGAUUCUAUUUUGUUGGUUUCUAGAGUUGGGAUAAUGAUUAAUAGGGACAAUUGGGGGCAUUCGUAUCAACACGUC
RNAcentral lists this ribosomal RNA (306 nucleotides) under Amoebophrya sp. Its description in RNAcentral is "SSU rRNA". It matches the Rfam family "Eukaryotic small subunit ribosomal RNA", at positions 595 to 906 of the family's 1831-position model. The record is from RNAcentral. Lineage: Eukaryota; Dinophyceae; Syndiniales; Amoebophryaceae.